Long non-coding RNA from Gadus macrocephalus (Pacific cod), 890 nucleotides. RefSeq lists it as uncharacterized. Lineage: Eukaryota; Metazoa; Chordata; Actinopteri; Gadiformes; Gadidae. The transcript has 2 exons. The record is from RefSeq and is a predicted model, not a curated record.
UCAGGGGGCGUGGGCCAUCAGGUGUGCCCCCCUCCAGGGAUGAAGCACCUGAAAGUAUGAUAAUGGUUUGAUGAAGGUUUGAUAAAAGUUUGAUGAAGGUAUGACAAAAGUUUGAUGAAGGUUUGAUGAAGGUACGAUAGAGGUUUGAUGACGGUAUGAUUAAGGUUUGAUGAAGGUACGAUAGAGGUUUGAUUACGGUAUGAUGAAGGUAUGAUUAAGGUUUGAUAAAGGUUUGAUGAAGGUUUGAUGAAGGUACGAUAAAGGUUUGAUGAAGGUUUGAUGAAGGUACGAUAGAGGUUUGAUUACGGUUUGAUGAAGGUACGAUAGAUGUUUGAUGAAGGUUUGAUUAAGGUUUGAUUAAAUUUUGAUGAAGGUAUGAUUACGGUUUUAUUAAGGUAUGAUUACAGUUUGAUGAAGGUACGAUAAAGGUUUGAUGAAGGUUUGAUGCAGUCCAGAGGUUUGUACAGUCUAAACCCUACGUGGGCAUGGGGCUGUCUGCAGGCAUGCUCUCUGAACGUGGAAGAAUCAUGGGUUUUCUGGAACAUGAAAGUUCCUGGACCUCUUCAGCCCAAAGAGGUUUCCAGGUAGUGCUCUAUACGUUAAUGCCUAUGGAGCACGACAGACGAGACGCAUCACUGCAGCGGAGAGUCCGCUGCACUACAAAAGACAGAACUGAACGGGACUAAUCAUGAAUGUAAAAAACAUACACAACAAAUCAUGUCAGUUAACAGCAUUUCAGAUUCAAAAAACUAACGGAUUAGACACGUUUCUGUUUUUGAAGAAAAAAACUAUUAGUGCAUCGCUAUGCGUACAUUUCAACGCUGCUUCACUGCUGGAAAAGAAAUAGAUUGUUUUACAUUUCUAACUUUAAAAAACUCCAGUACUUGGCU